AACUUCAGACAACAUUCGUUCGGACGACAAUGUGAUGUCAAGGCGAAUCAAGAAGUUCUUCAUGCGAUUCCAACACGCUCCUAAUGUACUGGGAAUGUGGGGAGUGCAGCAGCAUCAGUGCAGCACCAAUGGUCAGAUGCGAAGGCUGUGAUAAAUGGUACCACUUCCGUUGCGCGGGACUGUCUAAGGAGCCAGAAACACCGACAUGGCGAUGCAGGUGGUACUGCCUGGUGAGGCCGCGGUCUCCGGAAUCGCCUGCAGACGAAGUCACCUGGCGUCCAUCUGCACAUCACUUGCAGAAGUGAGGCCUGCUGACAGCGUCUGGCAGUGUCGGCAACGUGCCAGACAGCUAUCUGGAGUCCUGCUCACCGCAGGUCGCCGACAGGAGGGGCGACGCAUCGUCUCCGAGGUCGCCUCAGCAUCAGUGAGACCCCACUGGCCGUCUUCUUAGGCUUCAACUAGAUUGCGAACAACCUAUGCUGAGACAACGCCCAUGACGUGUGAUCCGGUACCGCUACCGCACUGCGUGCCUGUGCCCGCCGUGAGCCGCUAGUGCAUGGGUUCGACCAUGAGAAUGUGUGUUUAUGUUGCUUUUACUAUUGUUUAUACGUUGAAGUGACGAAUUGUUUAUUUUUCGCAAGCCUCCGCUGUCCGGUUGCCUGCAGCUCCAUGCAACGUCAGCUGUACUGUUGUUUUAAUGUUGUCUCUCCGCUCAGCUGUACUGUUGCCUCUCCGCUCAUAACAACCUAUGCUGAGACAACGCCCAUGACGUGUGAUCCGGUACCGCUACCGCACUGCGUGCCUGUACCCGUCGCAAGCCUCCGCUGUCCGGUUGCCUGCAGCUCCAUGCAACGCCAGCUGUACUGUUGUUUUAAUGUUGUCUCUCCGCUCAGCUGUACUGUUGCCUCUCCGCUCAUAACAACCUAUGCUGAGACAACGCCCAUGACGUGUGAUCCGGUACCGCUACCACACUGCGUGCCUGUGCCCGCCGUGAGCCGCUAGUGCAUGGGUACGACCAUGAGAAUAUGUGUUUAUGUUGCUUUUUAUACUAUUGUUUAUACGUUGAAGUGACGAAUUGUUUAUUUUUCGCAAGCCUCCGCUGUCCGGUUGCCUGCAGCUCCAUGCAACGCCAGCUGUACUGUUGUUUUAAUGUUGUCUCUCCGCUCAGCUGUACUGUUGCCUCUCCGCUCAUAUAUGACACCCUCUAUAUGAAUGGCACUACUGAUUGUCACACCCACUGUCCGUAUUGUCCGUAGUGGUGUCUACGCCCAUGUUAAUACAGCGUGCAGAAUCCAGAU
This is a long non-coding RNA of Amphibalanus amphitrite, 1298 nucleotides long. RefSeq lists it as uncharacterized. NCBI's taxonomy places the organism in Eukaryota, Metazoa, Arthropoda, Thecostraca, Balanomorpha, Balanidae. The record is from RefSeq and is a predicted model, not a curated record. The transcript is spliced from 3 exons.